Molecule: non-coding RNA, 194 nt
Filed under: Priestia endophytica
Lineage: Bacteria; Bacillati; Bacillota; Bacilli; Caryophanales; Bacillaceae
Source: RNAcentral
UGAUUAACUCGCAGUUUAGGGGCUCCUACUUUUUUAAAGUGGGAGGUAACAGGGAACCAAGUGAAAAUCUUGGGCGGUCCAGCCACUGUUAUGAAGAAGUUUUUCGCCAGAUGCCACUUAACAAUUCUGUUAGGGAAGGCGGUGAAAAGUGAUGAUUUUAGAGCCAGGAUACCUACCUAAUCUGUACGCUAGGA